This 74-nucleotide transfer RNA is filed under the name Candidatus Pacearchaeota archaeon. RNAcentral describes it as "tRNA-Gln". It matches the Rfam family "tRNA". Rfam says of the family: Transfer RNA (tRNA) molecules are approximately 80 nucleotides in length. Their secondary structure includes four short double-helical elements and three loops (D, anti-codon, and T loops). Further hydrogen bonds mediate the characteristic L-shaped molecular structure. tRNAs have two regions of fundamental functional importance: the anti-codon, which is responsible for specific mRNA codon recognition, and the 3' end, to which the tRNAs corresponding amino acid is attached (by aminoacyl-tRNA synthetases). tRNAs cope with the degeneracy of the genetic code in two manners: having more than one tRNA (with a specific anti-codon) for a particular amino acid; and 'wobble' base-pairing, i.e. permitting non-standard base-pairing at the 3rd anti-codon position. Lineage: Archaea; Nanobdellati. The record is from RNAcentral.
AGCCCUGUCGUCUAGCUGGUCAAGGAUAGAAGGCUUUGGACCUUCAGACCCAGGUUCGAAUCCUGGCAGGGCUA